AACGAACGCUGGCGGCAUGCCUAACACAUGCAAGUCGAACGAUUGCCUUCUGGUGUUAGUGGCUCACGGGUGCGUAACGCGUUGGAAUCUGCCCUUAGAUUCGGAAUAACAGCUGGAAACGGCUGCUAAUACCGGAUGAUAUUGCGAGAUCAAAGAUUUGUCGCCUGAGGAUGAGCCCGCGUUGGUUUAGGUGGUUGGUGGGGGAAAGGCCUGCCAAGCCGACGAUUCAUAGCUGGUCUGAGCAGAGGAUAAGCCACACUGGGGCUGCGACACGGCCCAGUCCGGUACGCAGGGGAGGAGAGGGGAAUAUUGGGCAAUGAGCGCAAACCUGAUCCAGCCAUGCCGGGGAAGAGAGGAAGGGCGUAGGGUUGUAAAGCUCUUUUACCCGGGAAGAUAAUGACUGUACCGGGAGAAUAAGCACCGGCUAACUCCGUG
RNAcentral lists this ribosomal RNA (435 nucleotides) under uncultured bacterium. Its description in RNAcentral is "partial 16S ribosomal RNA". It matches the Rfam family "Bacterial small subunit ribosomal RNA", at positions 29 to 507 of the family's 1533-position model. The record is from RNAcentral.